ACUCAGCAUGGACAUGAGGGCCCCUGUUCAGCUCCUUGGGCUCUUGUUGCUGUUGUUUCCAGGUAUCAAGUGUGAUGUCCUGAUGACUCAGUCUCCAUCUUCACUGUCUGUAUCUCUGGGAGACAGAGUGAGAAUCAGUUGUCAGGCCAGUGAGGGCAUUAGUAAUUAUUUAAGCUGGUACCAGCAGAAACCAGAGAAAGCUCCUAAGCUCCUGAUCUACCGUGCAUCCAAUUUGGAAAAUGGAGUACCAUCUAGGUUCAGUGGCAGUGGGUCUGCAACAGAUUUCACUCUCACCAUCAGCAGCCUCGAGUCUGAAGACACUGCAAUUUAUUACUGUCUACAGACUAGUAAGCUUCCUCCCACAGUGAUAGAAGUCAUAACAUAA
Arvicola amphibius (Eurasian water vole) is the source of this 385-nucleotide non-coding RNA. NCBI's taxonomy places the organism in Eukaryota, Metazoa, Chordata, Mammalia, Rodentia, Cricetidae. The record is from the annotation of a RefSeq genome assembly.